This 607-nucleotide ribosomal RNA is filed under the name uncultured fungus. RNAcentral's name for it is "LSU rRNA". It matches the Rfam family "Eukaryotic large subunit ribosomal RNA", at positions 38 to 668 of the family's 3401-position model. Lineage: Eukaryota; Fungi. The record is from RNAcentral.
GCAUAUCAAUAAGCGGAGGAAAAGAAACCAACAGGGAUUGCCUCAGUAACGGCGAGUGAAGCGGCAACAGCUCAAAUUUGAAAUCUGGCCCCCCGGCCCGAGUCGUAAUUUGCAGAGGAUGCUUUUGGCGCGGUGCCUUCCGAGUUCCUUGGAACAGGACGCCUUAGAGGGUGAGAGCCCCGUACGGUCGGACACCAAGCCUUUGUAAAGCUCCCUCGACGAGUCGAGUAGUUUGGGAAUGCUGCUCUAAAUGGGAGGUAAAUUUCUUCUAAAGCUAAAUACCGGCUGGAGACCGAUAGCGCACAAGUAGAGUGAUCGAAAGAUGAAAAGCACUUUGAAAAGAGGGUUAAAUAGCACGUGAAAUUGUUGAAAGGGAAGGGCUUGUGACCAGACUUGGGCUUGGUUGAUCAUCCGGGGUUCUCCCCGGUGCACUCUUCCGGCUCAGGCCAGCAUCAGUUCGCCCUGGGGGAUAAAGGCUUCGGGAAUGUGGCUCUCUCCGGGGAGUGUUAUAGCCCGCUGCGUAAUACCCUGUGGCGGACUGAGGUUCGCGCAUUCGCAAGGAUGCUGGCGUAAUGGUCAUCAGUGACCCGUCUUGAAACACGGACCG